CCUGAUUCCUGGAUACCAGACUCUCAGCAGCAGGCAAGCAGGUAUAGCUCAGCAUAGCCUACAUGCUGCCAGCAUCACACAGCCACAAAGAAAACUAACUUUAAACUCCUUUUUCUCCCCCACAACUUUUCCUUGCAUACACUGCUUGCUUAAUCAGCUGCAGCUGAGGAUACCUAUCACAACUGAGCAAAGGAAGUGAAAUAUAAGGAAAAAAUAGUGUAGGAAGAUUCGCUGUGAAAAGAUUUCUUCCUAUAUAGCAUGUUCUCCAUGAUACUAUGAUGUUUCUCCAUAAAGGAAGCCUUUGGAUUGACCAGUAAGCACAUACUUUGAAAAAGACAAAAGCAAGAAGAAAUUAAAAAGAAAAAAAAAUCUUUAACCUGACUUAGACAGCUGCUCAGACAACCACAUGAAAACACCCUCACAAAGCGAACAGAAGAUGACUUUGGAGGUGCUGACUGAAAACAAGGGCAUCCUAUGAGAAGAGCUCUCCCCUCACCUCACCAAUGGUAACAGAUGCAGCUCAUUGCUUGGAAUACAAUUUACGGAUUUUUAUAAUAGAGAUCGUUGAUGAAAAGAUUGCAGUGGCUUGUCAGGAUUUGAAAUUCAGCAUGGAUCCUACUGUUACAUUGCUGUAUGAUGAUGCAAAAAGCAACAGGAUUUACAUUUACAGUUGCAGGUCCAUGAGCAAUUUUUGUUUUGCUUCCUGA
This 707-nucleotide long non-coding RNA is filed under the name Coturnix japonica (Japanese quail). RNAcentral's name for it is "lncRNA (ENSCJPG00005009883.1)". The record is from RNAcentral. Lineage: Eukaryota; Metazoa; Chordata; Aves; Galliformes; Phasianidae.